Molecule: ribosomal RNA, 395 nt
Filed under: uncultured bacterium
Lineage: Bacteria
Description: bacterial SSU rRNA
Rfam family: Bacterial small subunit ribosomal RNA
Source: RNAcentral
GACGAACGCUGGCGGCGUGCUUAACACAUGCAAGUCGAGCGGUAAGGCCCUUUCGGGGGUACACGAGCGGCGAACGGGUGAGUAACACGUGGGUGACCUGCCCUCAGCUCUGGGAUAAGCCUGGGAAACUGGGUCUAAUACUGGAUAUGACUCCACGGUGCAUGUCGUGGGGUGGAAAGCCUUGUGCGGCUGAGGAUGGGCCCGCGGCCUAUCAGCUUGUUGGUGGGGGAUGGCCUACCAAGGCGACGACGGGUAGCCGGCCUGAGAGGGCGACCGGCCACACUGGGACUGAGACACGGCCCAGACUCCUACGGGAGGCAGCAGGUGGGAAUCUUGCGCAAUGGGCGAAAGCCUGACGCAGCGACGCCGCGUGAGGGAUGACGGCCUGGUGUAAC